RNAcentral lists this ribosomal RNA (557 nucleotides) under Babesia gibsoni. RNAcentral describes it as "SSU rRNA". It matches the Rfam family "Eukaryotic small subunit ribosomal RNA", at positions 500 to 1110 of the family's 1831-position model. Lineage: Eukaryota; Apicomplexa; Aconoidasida; Piroplasmida; Babesiidae. The record is from RNAcentral.
GUCUUGUAAUUGGAAUGAUGGUGACCCAAACCCUCACCAGAGUAGCAAUUGGAGGGCAAGUCUGGUGCCAGCAGCCGCGGUAAUUCCAGCUCCAAUAGCGUAUAUUAAACUUGUUGCAGUUAAAAAGCUCGUAGUUGAAUUUCUGCGUUGCCCGACUCGGCUACUUGCCUUGUCUGGUUUCGCUUUUGGGGUUUUCCCCUUUUUACUUUGAGAAAAUUAGAGUGUUUCAAGCAGACUUGUGUCUUGAAUACUUCAGCAUGGAAUAAUAAAGUAGGACUUUGGUUCUAUUUUGUUGGUUUGUGAACCUUAGUAAUGGUUAAUAGGAACGGUUGGGGGCAUUCGUAUUUAACUGUCAGAGGUGAAAUUCUUAGAUUUGUUAAAGACGAACUACUGCGAAAGCAUUUGCCAAGGACGUUUUCAUUAAUCAAGAACGAAAGUUAGGGGAUCGAAGACGAUCAGAUACCGUCGUAGUCCUAACCAUAAACCAUGCCGACUAGGGAUUGGAGGUCGUCAUUUUUCGACUCCUUCAGCACCUUGAGAGAAAUCAAAGUCUUUGG